UACGUAGGGGCCAAGCGUUGUCCGGAUUUAUUGGGCGUAAAGAGCUCGUAGGCGGUUUGUCGCGUCUGCUGUGAAAACUCGGGGCUUAACUCCGGGCCUGCAGUGGGUACGGGCAGACUAGAGUGCGGUAGGGGAGACUGGAAUUCCUGGUGUAGCGGUGAAAUGCGCAGAUAUCAGGAGGAACACCGGUGGCGAAGGCGGGUCUCUGGGCCGUAACCGACGCUGAGGAGCGAAAGCGUGGGGAGCGAACAGG
Molecule: ribosomal RNA, 253 nt
Filed under: uncultured bacterium
Lineage: Bacteria
Description: partial 16S ribosomal RNA
Rfam family: Bacterial small subunit ribosomal RNA
Source: RNAcentral